CGCUGGCAUUUUUUACUCCAAUGUACACUUUCAGUGCACUGAGACUGUUUAAAUCAGAAUGAAGUGACUUGGUGACAGCACAGCACUGGAUCAGGGACACUGGGAGACUCACCAGACAACAUUGACCAUGGACUCUCCAUUCCCAUUGCUCCCACUGCAGCAUCCUCAUUUCUCACAGUUCUGUUUCAAGGACUCCCCUCAAGAAAAGGAUCUCUCUAGUCCCAGCAGCAAACACCCAAGGCAAUUUUUACUCCCUGCAAACAGCAGGACUGACCAAGGAAAGCUGCUGUCAUAGGAAAAGCAGGGGAUUGUGAUGAUCACACACCUUCCCUGGUGAAAGUUUCAGCUCCUAUCACCACCCCUGAGCAGCUCUGCCUCGGUCCCCCCCACCUGCUCCAAAAUGGCUCCCUGGGGUUUAGCUCCAGCUCUUCGGACUUGUCCAUCCCCACUGCUCUGCCAGGCAGCACCCAACAGCACAGCAGGGGAACACCUGAGCAGGUACAACCAGGGGCACACCAAGGCCACCAGGUCCUGCAACACAGCUUCUUGUGUUUCAGGGCCUCUGAUUUUUGGUAGGGAAUCACUGGAAUUUAUUUAUAAAUUCCUUUUGAAAUAUGCCUUCUCGUUCUACUGUACUAUAUACAGGAAUAUAAGAAACUCUGAAGAUACAUCUGAAAGUUUUGAAAGUAAUGCCGUAACGUUUUUAUCUAGGAAUGAACCAAGCCGUGCCCUGAAAGCAUAAGAGCAGCUGCAGGGGCUGAAGGGAACCUCUUGCCUCCGUUCUCCGCCUGCCCCCGGGGCGAGGGGCAGCCCCGGCUGUGGCCGGCGGCAGUGCUGCCGCCUUGUGGACAGGGAGCGGUACUGCAGCCUCCGGCAGCGCCCUGCCCCUCGCUGCCCAGCGUGGUUAGGGCGGCAGUGCUGCCGCCUUGUGGACAGGGAGCGGGACUGCGUGCGUGCGCCUCUCAAGACGGCGCAAGCGACCGCCUGGCAGGACCCUUCCGGAGCCGGGCCGAGCUCCAGACACCCUCAAGACGGCGCCGCCCCGGCGGGAUUUUCCGCGGCGUUUUCAGGGGUACGGACACGGGCUGCGGGCUCAGCGGCGCCGCGGGCGGGAGCAAACGAGCAGCGGCGGGGACGCCUCUCUCUGCGAGGUCCUGCCGCCAUCUGGGGGAUGGCCCGGCGCCGUGCCGUGCCGGGUGCCCGUCCUGUCCCCGGUGCCUCCGCGCUGUCCCCGCUCUCCCCCGGCCGGGGAAAUGGAGGAAAGCACAAAACAUCAGGGCAGAACAGUCUGCCCGCAGCCGGGAGCGGCCAGCAGGAGCCAGCAGCUGCUCUUUGCCAGUAAAGACUGUGGAGCAUCAGGGAGAAUAUUUGGCAUAAAGAAAUGAAAGGCACGAGGGAAGCUCCGUGUUCCCAAGAGAAUUCUUUGAGCACCACGUGCAUCUUCUGAACCGCACUGAUAAUCCCGACUCCGGCAGAAACCUUCCAAAGCUGGAAUGGACAGGGAAGAAAAUUCCAGGAGCAGUGGGAAGUGCUUUCUCACAGGUCACAGUGGUGUUGAGGUUCGCACGAGUUCCAGAUAUUCAUGGGGCCUCUCCUGUUGCCUGCCCAGGACGGAGGCGGUGUUCCUUGAGUGGCUGCAGUUCCCUGCAUGUGGAGGGAGCAGAUCCGUGCUGGAGAGUGGGUGAAAGGUCCCCGCUGCUUGCCGUGUCCUCGGUGGGCAGAGAGCUCUGACCUCGGCUGGAUGGGCAGCCAAUUUUGAAGUGCUCACCAGAGAUCUGCCAGAGAUCUGGGAGGAAAAGCAGAGCCAAGCACUGAGAACUGACGUGUGAGCCCUGGUGAGGACUGCCGCUCCCUCUGCCUUGGUGUGGGACCUCCUGAGGUCCCAUUCUGAUGCUGGGAGUGUUUCUCCUCUCAUCCAGCCAAGCCAGAGACCUCCUAGGGAACAAGCAGGUCAGCACGAAGACUGAAUGUGUAAGAAGAUGUGGGGUGCAAUGGAGAACCUGGCAGGAGCAUCCGACGCACACGUGCACGAGUUUUGCUUUUUGCUUGGAUUUCAACUCAGAAGUUGUAAGGAAUUUGGGAAUGAGAUGGGAUGUUUCAGAAGAAGAGGAAGGAGGAGAAAAGGAAGUUGUUGUUACAGUCCUGGCAAAAUCUUUUGUUCUAGCUAAUAAAAGAAGUUAAAAAAAAAAAAGCAAAAAAA
Long non-coding RNA from Haemorhous mexicanus (house finch), 2200 nucleotides. RefSeq lists it as uncharacterized. The transcript has 4 exons. The record is from RefSeq and is a predicted model, not a curated record. Lineage: Eukaryota; Metazoa; Chordata; Aves; Passeriformes; Fringillidae.